GAUGAACGCUGGCGGCGUGCUUAACACAUGCAAGUCGAACGGAAAGGCUCCUGCUUGCAGGGGUACUCGAGUGGCGAACGGGUGAGUAACACGUGGGUGAUCUGCCCUGCACUUCGGGAUAAGCCUGGGAAACUGGGUCUAAUACCGGAUAGGACGAUGGUUUGGAUGCCAUUGUGGAAAGUUUUUUCGGUGUGGGAUGAGCUCGCGGCCUAUCAGCUUGUUGGUGGGGUAAUGGCCUACCAAGGCGUCGACGGGUAGCCGGCCUGAGAGGGUGUACGGCCACAUUGGGACUGAGGUACGGCCCAGACUCCUACGGGGGGCAGAAGUGGGGAAUAUUGCACAAUGGGCGCAAGCCUGAUGCAGCGACGCCGCGUGGGGGAUGACGGCCUUCGGGUUGUAAACACCUUCCGCUAGGGACGAAGCGCAAGUGACGGUACCUGGAGAAGAAGCACCGGCUAACUACGUG
Molecule: ribosomal RNA, 466 nt
Filed under: uncultured bacterium
Lineage: Bacteria
Description: partial 16S ribosomal RNA
Rfam family: Bacterial small subunit ribosomal RNA
Source: RNAcentral